CCUACGGGAGGCUGCAGUGGGGAAUAUUGCACAAUGGGCGCAAGCCUGAUGCAGCCAUGCCGCGUGUGCGAAGAAGGCCUUCGGGUUGUAAAGCACUUACAGCGGGGAGGAAGGCGGUGAGGUUAAUAACCUCAUCGAUUGACGUUACCCGCAGAAGAAGCACCGGCUAACUCCGUGCCAGCGGCCGCGGUAAUACGGAGGGUGCAAGCGUUAAUCGGAAUUACUGGGCAUAGAGCGCACGCAGGCGGCCUGUCAAGUCGGAUGUGAAAUCCCCGGGCUCAACCUGGGAACUGCAUUCGAAACUGGCAGGCUAGAGUCUUGUAGAGGGGGGUAGAAUUCCAGGUGGAGCGGUGAAAUGCGUAGAGAUCUGGAGGAAUACCGGUGGCGAAGGCGGCCCCCUGGACAAAGACUGACGCUCAGGUGCGAAAGCGUGGGGAGCAAACAGGAUUAGAUACCCGGGUAGUC
Molecule: ribosomal RNA, 465 nt
Filed under: uncultured Klebsiella sp.
Lineage: Bacteria; Pseudomonadati; Pseudomonadota; Gammaproteobacteria; Enterobacterales; Enterobacteriaceae
Description: bacterial SSU rRNA
Rfam family: Bacterial small subunit ribosomal RNA
Source: RNAcentral